AGAGUUUGAUCUGGCUCAGACGAACGUGGCGGCGUGGAUUAGGCAUGCAAGUCGAACGAAUCCCAUCUGGGUAACUGGGUGGGGGAAGUGGCGAAAGGGGCAGUAAUGCAUGGGUAACCUACCCCGGGGACGGGGAUAGCCAUCCUAACGGAUGGGUAAUACCUGGCGAUCUGGCGAGGAGACAUCUCUUUGCCAGGAAAUGAAUUUCGCCUCGGGAGGGGCCCAUGUGGUAUUAGCUUGUUGGUAGGGUAACGGCCUACCAAGGCCAAGAUGCCUAGCAGGUGUGAGAGCACGACCUGCGCCACUGGCACUGAGACACUGGCCAGACUCCUACGGGAGGCUGCAGUCGAGGAUCUUCGGCAAUGGGCGCAAGCCUGACCGAGCGACGCCGCGUGUGCGAUGAAGGCCUUCGGGUUGUAAAGCACUGUCGAGGGGGAGGAAGGCCCGCAAGGGUUUGACCUAUCCCUGGAGGAAGCACGGGCUAAGUUCGUGCCAGCAGCCGCGGUAAGACGAACCGUGCAAACGUUGUUCGGAAUCACUGGGCUUA
RNAcentral lists this ribosomal RNA (547 nucleotides) under uncultured bacterium. RNAcentral describes it as "bacterial SSU rRNA". It matches the Rfam family "Bacterial small subunit ribosomal RNA", at positions 8 to 562 of the family's 1533-position model. The record is from RNAcentral.